AGCAGGAAAAUGUCUCCUGUGUUAAAAUGCUCUGGACCCAGAAUAUUUCCUGAUAAUGUACUUUCCUGAGAAGAUCUUGAAGCAUCUUACUAAUUUGAAAUAAUCAGAGUGCCUUAAAUUCCCUGUCAUAAAAUGAUUCUGCUUUGGGGAAUACCUUCUCUCAGCUUGCAGAUUGUAUCUUCAAUGUUAAGAUGUGUGAAAUGGAAGUGCUGUUUGCAAGGGACAGAUGCUGUAUUCUUGAAAUAUAAAACGUCAAUUUCCAACGCUGGAGAGGAGAACAAGGCCUUAUCAAGAUUGCCUGGCAGAGCAUGAUAUUUAUACACCCACCUGGCUUAUCACUGACGAGAAUGUAAUCUUCACUGAGAGAGGCUUUUAAAGAUUCCUCUCUUAAUAUUUGCUUCAUCAUUUCAGAAAGUCUCUAGCUAGACCUGAUCAAACAGUUAUUUCUGGCUGGGCACAAAUUCCAUUUUCAGAAUAUUGCUUGGCUCUUUGUUCCUUUCCCCUCUGUGCUAUCCACCCCCUAGCCUGACUCAUCUCUUCUAGAACCUUCUCUGUCCUUCCCCAAACCACUGGGAGUGAUUUACUAAGUGCAUUUCCCAGCCAGCUCCCAGAUGCUGGCUAGAAAGACCAAUUUACAGGAACAAAAU
Molecule: long non-coding RNA, 647 nt
Filed under: Bos taurus (domestic cattle)
Lineage: Eukaryota; Metazoa; Chordata; Mammalia; Artiodactyla; Bovidae
Description: long non-coding RNA NONBTAT012147
Source: RNAcentral